GGUUCAGGAUGAACGCUAGCUACAGGCUUAACACAUGCAAGUCGAGGGGCAGCAUGGGAGUAGCUGCUACUCUGAUGGCGACCGGCGCACGGGUGCGUAACACGUAUCCAAUCUACCCAUGGCUCGGGAAUAGCCUUUCGAAAGAAAGAUUAAUGCCCGAUGGUCUGUCAGUGAGACAUCUCGCAGGCAGUAAAGAUUUAUCGGCGAUGGAUGAGGAUGCGUCUGAUUAGAUAGUAGGCGGGGUAACGGCCCACCUAGUCGACGAUCAGUAGGGGUUCUGAGAGGAAGGUCCCCCACAUUGGAACUGAGACACGGUCCAAACUCCUACGGGAGGCAGCAGUGAGGAAUAUUGGUCAAUGGUCGAGAGACUGAACCAGCCAAGUAGCCGUGAAGGAAGACUGCCCUAUGGGUUGUAAACUUCUUUUGUUUGGGAAUAAAGUGAGUCACGUGUGACUUUUUGUAUGUACCAUACGAAUAAGCAUCGGCUAAUUCCGUGCCAGCCGCUGC
This 507-nucleotide ribosomal RNA is filed under the name uncultured bacterium. RNAcentral's name for it is "bacterial SSU rRNA". It matches the Rfam family "Bacterial small subunit ribosomal RNA", at positions 21 to 518 of the family's 1533-position model. The record is from RNAcentral.